This 581-nucleotide unclassified non-coding RNA is filed under the name Hevea brasiliensis (rubber tree). The record is from RNAcentral. Lineage: Eukaryota; Viridiplantae; Streptophyta; Magnoliopsida; Malpighiales; Euphorbiaceae.
AGGGAGAAGGAGAAGCUAUUUUUGGCAAACCAAGAAAAGUUCCAUACUGAAGCUGAGAAGAAUUACUGGAAGCAGCUCAUUCCUAAAAAAGGAAAGAAAGAUCAAGAGAAAAGAAACCCUCCAUUGUUGUGAUCCAAGGGCCCAAGCCUGGAAAGCCAAAUGAUCUGUGAAGGAUGCGUCAAAUACUUCUUAAGCUUAAACAUAAUCCCCCUCCUUCCAUGAAGCCCAAACCACCACCAUCAGCAGAACGAGAAACAGAUGCCAAGGCUGCAGCUCCUAUAGCCACAGCUACUCUUAAUAAUGCUAUUUCCACUAAGGCUGCAGCAGCUCCUGAGGCUGUAGCAGCUGCUUGAGAAUGUUGAAUUAUGUAGUUGGGACUAAAAUAUUGGAAGCUGGCACCUGUUUUGAGCAUGUAUAUUAGGCAUAAAGCAAUUAUUGUGUAGAAAGGUUUUGUGCGAUUAUGCAUAGAAAGGCAUCUAGCAGUUGGUAGAAAGCUGUCACAUGAUUGAUAAUGUUGUACCAAUUUUUUUGGCUUUAGGUUGGGUGCGAUAUUUUGUGUGAACUUGCAAUUUGUUUCAACC